Molecule: ribosomal RNA, 615 nt
Filed under: Triticum aestivum (bread wheat)
Lineage: Eukaryota; Viridiplantae; Streptophyta; Magnoliopsida; Poales; Poaceae
Description: partial small subunit ribosomal RNA
Source: RNAcentral
AUGGACGGCGAGCUCGGCUACGUCUACGGCGAGGAGGAGCAGGAGGAGGAGGAGGAGCCGGCGACUGUUCCGGCGAGGAGGAGCAAGAAGAAGAAGCGGGCGGCCAGCACGAACCAGAGCAUCGAGACGUACUGGGAGCGGAUCAAGGCCGAGUUCGACGAGCGGAAACUCGUCGACCCCUACUUUAAAGGCGUCUACAUGCAGCGCGGGGCGAAGGGCAACAACGACGCCGAAUUCAAGUACCUCCAUGUUUACAAGCGCAUUGACAAAUGCGAUAAGUGGGUGGAAGUCUGGCGCACCCUCGACAAGGCCAAGGAGACCUACAAGCCGGACGCGCCGACUCCAGGCGCGUCAGAAGAGCGGCCGGACGGCAACAAAUCUGCCAAGAAGGGGAAACACGCCGACGCGGCCACCGCUCGAGUGCAGGAGUCCAUCGAGCACUGCAUCACCGACGCACAGGCCCGGGCCGCCCUUCGUGAAGAGAAGACCGAGGCGCGGUGGUCGGCGUUGAUGUCGAGCAGCGCCGUCAAGCUCGACCUACUCCGGACCAACGUUGUCGUGAAGAAGAGAAACACCGACCUGGCUUUCUGCUGGGGCAUGUGGCGGUAUCUGUAA